ACGAACGCUGGCGGCGUGCUUAACACAUGCAAGUCGAACGGAAAGGCCCUGCUUUUGUGGGGUGCUCGAGUGGCGAACGGGUGAGUAACACGUGAGUAACCUGCCCUUGACUUUGGGAUAACUUCAGGAAACUGGGGCUAAUACCGGAUAGGAGCUCCUGCUGCAUGGUGGGGGUUGGAAAGUUUCGGCGGUUGGGGAUGGACUCGCGGCUUAUCAGCUUGUUGGUGGGGUAGUGGCUUACCAAGGCUUUGACGGGUAGCCGGCCUGAGAGGGUGACCGGUCACAUUGGGACUGAGAUACGGCCCAGACUCCUACGGGAGGCAACAGUGGGGAAUAUUGCACAAUGGGCGGAAGCCUGAUGCAGCAACGCCGCGUGCGGGAUGACGGCCUUCGGGUUGUAAACCGCUUUCGCCUGUGACGAAGCGUGAGUGACGGUAAUGGGUAAAGAAGCACCGGCUAACUACGU
This 466-nucleotide ribosomal RNA is filed under the name uncultured bacterium. Its description in RNAcentral is "partial 16S ribosomal RNA". It matches the Rfam family "Bacterial small subunit ribosomal RNA", at positions 29 to 506 of the family's 1533-position model. The record is from RNAcentral.